AUAUACUCCAAUUUAAUUAAACGGGGUGAUGGAUUUCUCCGUCAACAGUAUGCUUGCCUUUCCCUAACUACACGUCGCAUGCUGCUGGCACCAUUUCUUCCCCCUCACAGCGCCACGUUUCUAAAACUCACCUCUUUCUCUUCCUCCUAUGAUCUAUCACCCUUGUUUUCCUUUCUCUUCUUUUCCCUUCUAUAAUCAACAGCUUGUGAGCAAUAGCCGACACAAUCGUGUAGGGUUUUCAAUUUUCUGUUGUUUUCUUUUUUCCUCCCCGUCUAGUUUUUGUUACUGCAACACUUUUUUUCCGAGGACAAAAAACACAGUAUUCUAAAAAGAGAAUAAGAAAAAGAUGUAGAAGAAGAAAAUGGUGCUGGCGGUGAUGGUAAUAGAUUAGUGUGUUAUCGGUGGGGAUUUGCCGGGAUCAGGUUGGCUAGAGGAACAGAGGAGACGGUGAAUGAUGCAAUGGAGAAUGCCGAAAUCGAAGUAUAGAAAAAAUAACAAGCAAUGUGCAUUGCCGCUUAUGCCAUGCAAGAUGCCGAGGACUCCCGAUCUGCUUCACAAGAUCCCUGAGAACAAUUGUCUGUAAGAAAGACAAAACAGUCGAUGCCUUGGGCAAUACUUGUCAGAAGAUAAGUGUGUGACUUCUGAUAAAGCUGAUGAUGCCAAAAUGAAACAAUGACAGGAGUUAUGCAAUAUGUAAGGGAUAAAGCAGCCAAUGCCUAUGAAGAAGGCAAUCAAAAAAUGAAUACAGCUUCAUAUCAUGUUAUUGUUGUCAAGGAGAAUACUGCCAAGCUGUAAAUUAUGGAAGUGAUAAAGCAUCAAACACCUAUGAUGAAGCUAAAGAGAUGAUGGAGAAUAAGGCCUUUCGAAAAUUGGAUUGAACUCGAGGUUGUGAGAGGGUUAAUCUAGGUAAGUUUUGAACUCAGCUCGAGUAAUUCUCCUCUCAUUUUUAAAAAAGACUUCAUAGCGAACAAAGUUCAUUCAUGUAGUCUCUUCUAAGAGAUAGAUAAGUUUUUCCUUAAGAUAUGACAUUUAUUAAAUUUGAGAUUGAAAUAUUAGCAUAUGUAACUCUGUAUAAAAAUAAAUAAAUAAAUGGCUAGGCUUUUCAUUAUGCCACCCUUUUCUUUAUAGAUGACCCUUUUCAAGUGACUGCAUGGAUUUCAUGUGAGUUGUUCUUAAAUGCCUGUGAGAGGCUAUGACCUUCCCCUACGGAUUAUGUGUGGAUCUUGGUUAGCUUUUCUCCCAACAUUUAUAUGUGGACUAACCUAAUUACCUUCUUUAUUUUUUUUCCUCCCAGUGUUUCUAUUUCUUCAUUCAACUACUUGACCCUCUAGACUAGAGUUUUACAUUGUUGAGCUGUGCACGUAAACCCCUACUUAAUAUUUAUGAAGCUGAAUCUUUUGAACACUAACCCUACUUGUCUUCAGUCACCUAGUUAUUAUAGCUCUACACGUUUGGUUAGUAUACCUCCUGUUUUAUAUUUAAAUAUUAAUUAUAUUGUAUGCUUCAAUACUACUUUAUAUUUGCAUGUUCCUUAUUGCCAUGUUCAUGCAAUUUCUCAGCUUUGUGGUUGAUUGAUUUGAAUAUGGAUAUACUUGUCAAAUUGUUUGAAAUAUCCUCUCUUUCGAUGCAUGUGAUUGUUAUGAAUAGACUUCUCAAAUUAUUUAAAAUGCAUGGGGAAUUUAUUAUAUUAUAUUAUUUUAUUUUUAUCUUACAUCUAUCAAAUUGAAAAGGGGAUAAAAACAAAGAAAGAAGCUUAAGAUUAAGCUUAAUUCCACUAGCUUAUGAUUAUGACUAAUCAAAUAUCUAUUGUCUAUACAUGCAACAAACUGUGUUGGCAACAUUUCCCAUAGCUACACCUUUGAUUGGCCAAGUAGACAAAAUGGGGUUUUGUUUUAGAUACAUUGCAUAACAUGUAUGGCCCAGAAACUGAAUAAUUUGCAACACCAAAACAAGGAAAUAUUCAAAGUUUGAAUCUAUGAUCCAACUUGAAAAUGCAAAAAAAUGGGAAAGGAUUUGAAAGAAUGGGAUUUUUAUGAUGCCUUGUUAAUCAUGUCAGUAUCGUAAAACCCCAUCAUAUUCCGUUUGCUCUGGCUUUUUGUGAUUAAUGGGCCAAUUGGAACAUUUUGGAGGGGGAAAAAAGUGGGGAAAAGAUAUGCAUACAUUAUAUUUUGUUAAUACAUGUUUUCUUUUUCUUUCUUCUCCUUGUUUUUCCAUGGAGAAAA
This is a long non-coding RNA of Gossypium raimondii (Peruvian cotton), 2222 nucleotides long. RefSeq lists it as uncharacterized. NCBI's taxonomy places the organism in Eukaryota, Viridiplantae, Streptophyta, Magnoliopsida, Malvales, Malvaceae. The transcript is spliced from 3 exons. The record is from RefSeq and is a predicted model, not a curated record.